Molecule: transfer RNA, 71 nt
Organism: Podospora anserina
Lineage: Eukaryota; Fungi; Ascomycota; Sordariomycetes; Sordariales; Podosporaceae
Rfam family: tRNA
About the family: Transfer RNA (tRNA) molecules are approximately 80 nucleotides in length.
Source: Rfam
UGCGGGUUGGUGUAAUAGAAACAUUUUUGGCUCAUGCCCAAAAGACAAGGGUGCAAAUCCUUUACCCGCAU